RNAcentral lists this transfer RNA (76 nucleotides) under Cordylochernes scorpioides. Its description in RNAcentral is "tRNA-Thr". The record is from RNAcentral. Lineage: Eukaryota; Metazoa; Arthropoda; Arachnida; Pseudoscorpiones; Chernetidae.
AGUGUCAAGGGAUGGGAAUCGAACCCACGACCUUCCGCUUACCGGGCAGAUGCCAUGACCACUAGGCCACAUGAGC